Molecule: ribosomal RNA, 89 nt
Filed under: Bacillus thuringiensis
Lineage: Bacteria; Bacillati; Bacillota; Bacilli; Caryophanales; Bacillaceae
Source: RNAcentral
CCCGUUCCCAUACCGAACACGGAAGUUAAGCUCUCUAGCGCCGAUGGUAGUUGGGACCUUGUCCCUGUGAGAGUAGGGCGUCGCCAAGC